Molecule: long non-coding RNA, 2320 nt
Filed under: Macaca fascicularis (crab-eating macaque)
Lineage: Eukaryota; Metazoa; Chordata; Mammalia; Primates; Cercopithecidae
Description: lncRNA (ENSMFAG00000050566.1)
Source: RNAcentral
UUUUUUUUUUUUCUUUUUUUUUUUCCUGGACAGGGUCUCACUCUGUCACCGAGGCUGGAGUGCAGUGGUGUGAUCUCAGAUCACUGCAGCCUGGACCUCCCUGGAUUCAAGUGAUCCUCUCAUCUCAGCCUCCUGAGUAGCUGAGACUACAUUCACGUGCCACCAUGCCCAGCUAAUUUUUUUGUAUUUUGUAGAGAUGAGGUCUCACCAUGUUUCCCAGACUGGUCUCCAACUCCUGGGCUCAAGCAAUCCACCCACCUCAGCCUCCCAAAGUGCUGGGACUAUAGGAACAAGCCACUGCAUCCAGCUCAGAUGAAAUUUUUGAAUGUGUCACAGAAGGUUGUUUUAAGUACAGUACAUUCCUCCAACAACUUCAAUGUCAUUGUAGAUUCUUGGAAUAAAUUCGCUCCCAUAUCUUCUUUCUCUUUGUUUCUUCUUUUAAAAACUCAAGUUACCAGGUAGGAAGCACUAAAGAUACUGAAGGUAGACCUCCCCAUGAUAUUUUCUUCCCCCAAACUAUAAAAUACAUGUGAGAUGAUCUUUUUUAAUGCAUGCAACAUACCCUUCAGAUGUUGUCCCCGAGAAGAGAUUUUUGAAAAAACAAAUUGAAAAAUAAAAAUUAUAGGCUCUGUGAAGUAUGAACAUUUACAUCACUGCACAGUUUCUGUGCAUCUACCAUAAUGACUUCUAUAUAUACACACAGGCAUACACACACACACACACACAAUUUGUGGUUAUAAUCGAACAAGUCCAGUUCAAACUUACAAACUUAAGUCUAUGAGAAAAACCAAGACAUCACAGUAGGCACACAACAACACUAAAGGAUAAGAUAAAAUCUACAACCAAACAAUUUUCAAAACCUUCCUACAGUGUGGAAUUCCAGUUGCUUAAAUAAUGCCAGUUCCAUUAAUUUCAACUGUGCUCUGAUCUAUUUCUAUACACACAGGUACACAGAAAAGUGGAAAUGUCCUUAUGCCGUGAAGAAGACAUUUUACUUCUGGUCUGCUUAGGUGCAGUUCUUUGUUCCAGGCCGAUUCCAAUCUUCCUGUUUCUAGCAUGAAAUAGGAUGAAAGAUUUUGUGAGUUUCUCAGUAACUGGAUGAAUUUCGUACUCAUGAUCAUCUCAAUGAUAACACAAAGGUUUCCUUUUCCUAAGUGACAACAAAGAAAACUUUGUAAUUCUUUUGCAAGGAUCCAUAAGCCUGAAUUCUAAAAGGAGAGGCCAAUCAAAAGGAAAUGAAGAAUGUUUCAAAGGUAAGGGUUUUUUUUGGUUGGUUUGUUUGAGACGGCGUUUUGCUUCUGUUGCCCAGGCUGACUCCGUCUCAAAAAGGAAAAAAAAAAAAUUCAUUAAACAGAGCCCUGACCACCACUAGCCAAACUACAUUAAAAAUGAGUCCACUUAGCAAAAAUAAUACUUACACAUACUUUCUCAACAAGGCAUACCAGACUGAGAAAGGUCAUUCCUAUGUGUGGAAUCCUUUUCAGGGACAGUAGGGGCAGCUGGGGACAGGAUGUAAUGAAACUGUUCACUGAUUAUAAGACAAAAAUCCAUCCAAUGGAAGCUUUUUUGUUCUUGAAGUAAAUUUUACAACUGAGGGCUCUCUGUUAGAGAAAGGUUCUAUUUUUGUGGCUUAUCAACGGGUCCUUCAUACUAAAGCAAACCAAGUCUUUACAUCAUUUUAAAGAUUUCCUGGAGAGACAUAAUUUGUAAGAUGUUAUGCGCAAGUUAGCGAAAACGUAAGCCCCAGAGUAGACCAGAGAAACAAACACAUUCAGGAACAUCUUGUGAUUUUUAAAACCCACAACUGGAUUCCACAAGCAUUUAUGAAGUUGAUAAAGUUACACACUCUCAUGUUAAUACAAACCAGUCACCACUGUAAAAGCGUUCAUCACAUACUGAGAGGUGAAGCCAUGCCGCGGAGACAGGUUAUUUUCUCGAGGUCAUAGCCACCUAUUCCUCUAUCAUUUUGUUCUCUAUUAUUUUAAUUUUUAUCCAGUUUUCCUCUUGAUACAUCCAUGGAAACACCCGCCCAGGAUGGAGGGCUCUCAUUCACCCCGUCUUUCAGCAGGUUGGUUCCUCUCCCCAAUCAGCAACUGUGACAUUUGGUGUCUGUUUCAAAUGGUGUUGGUUAGCCAACUGGGAAGACUACAGGAAAAUUAUGGGAAUGGAAAUCAAAGUGGGAAAAACAAGCUAUGUCAAUGAGUAGACACAUCACUGACAAUAUUUUGCUUCACUGGUAUUUUUCUUGCUCAUAUGUUACAGGAAGAAAGAUCUAAUUGAAGCCAUAUAACCGAGCAAUUUAGAAUUGAGGAGUAACUGA